This 1343-nucleotide ribosomal RNA is filed under the name uncultured bacterium. Its description in RNAcentral is "16S ribosomal RNA". It matches the Rfam family "Bacterial small subunit ribosomal RNA", at positions 28 to 1378 of the family's 1533-position model. The record is from RNAcentral.
GACGAACGCUGGCGGCGUGCUUAACACAUGCUAGUCGAACGGAAAGGCCCUGCUUUUGUGGGGUGCCCGAGUGGCGAACGGGUGAGUAACACGUGAGUAACCUGCCCUUGACUUUGGGAUAACUUCAGGGAACUGGGGCUAAUACCGGAUAGGAGCUCCUGCUGCAUGGUGGGGGUUGGAAAGUUUCGGCGGUUGGGGAUGGACUCGCGGCUUAUCAGCUUGUUGGUGGGGUAGUGGCUUACCAAGGCUUUGACGGGUAGCCGGCCUGAGAGGGUGACCGGCCACAUUGGGACUGAGAUACGGCCCAGACUCCUACGGGAGGCAGCAGUGGGGAAUAUUGCACAAUGGGCGGAAGCCUGAUGCAGCAACGCCGCGUGCGGGAUGACGGCCUUCGGGUUGUAAACCGCUUUCGCCUGUGACGAAGCGUGAGUGACGGUAAUGGGUAAAGAAGCACCGGCUAACUACGUGCCAGCAGCCGCGGUGAUACGUAGGGUGCGAGCGUUGUCCGGAUUUAUUGGGCGUAAAGGGCUCGUAGGUGGUUGAUCGCGUCGGAAGUGUAAUCUUGGGGCUUAACCCUGAGCGUGCUUUCGAUACGGGUUGACUUGAGGAAGGUAGGGGAGAAUGGAAUUCCUGGUGGAGCGGUGGAAUGCGCAGAUAUCAGGAGGAACACCAGUGGCGAAGGCGGUUCUCUGGGCCUUUCCUGACGCUGAGGAGCGAAAGCGUGGGGAGCGAACAGGCUUAGAUACCCUGGUAGUCCACGCUGUAAACGGUGGGUACUAGGUGUGGGGUCCAUUCCACGGGUUCCGUGCCGUAGCUAACGCUUUAAGUACCCCGCCUGGGGAGUACGGCCGCAAGGCUAAAACUCAAAGGAAUUGACGGGGCCCCGCACAAGCGGCGGAGCAUGCGGAUUAAUUCGAUGCAACGCGUAGAACCUUACCUGGGUUUGACAUGGAUCGGGAGCGCUCAGAGAUGGGUGUGCCUCUUUUGGGGUCGGUUCACAGGUGGUGCAUGGCUGUCGUCAGCUCGUGUCGUGAGAUGUUGGGUUAAGUCCCGCAACGAGCGCAACCCUUGUUCACUGUUGCCAGCACGUUAUGGUGGGGACUCAGUGGAGACCGCCGGGGUCAACUCGGAGGAAGGUGGGGAUGGCGUCAAGUCAUCAUGCCCCUUAUGUCCAGGGCUUCACGCAUGCUACAAUGGCUGGUACAGAGAGUGGCGAGCCUGUGAGGGUGAGCGAAUCUCGGAAAGCCGGUCUCAGUUCGGAUUGGGGUCUGCAACUCGACCUCAUGAAGUCGGAGUCGCUAGUAAUCGCAGAUCGGCAACGCUGCGGUGAAUACGUUCCCGGG